RNAcentral lists this transfer RNA (72 nucleotides) under Centaurea solstitialis (yellow star-thistle). It matches the Rfam family "tRNA". From Rfam's summary of the family: Transfer RNA (tRNA) molecules are approximately 80 nucleotides in length. Their secondary structure includes four short double-helical elements and three loops (D, anti-codon, and T loops). Further hydrogen bonds mediate the characteristic L-shaped molecular structure. tRNAs have two regions of fundamental functional importance: the anti-codon, which is responsible for specific mRNA codon recognition, and the 3' end, to which the tRNAs corresponding amino acid is attached (by aminoacyl-tRNA synthetases). tRNAs cope with the degeneracy of the genetic code in two manners: having more than one tRNA (with a specific anti-codon) for a particular amino acid; and 'wobble' base-pairing, i.e. permitting non-standard base-pairing at the 3rd anti-codon position. Lineage: Eukaryota; Viridiplantae; Streptophyta; Magnoliopsida; Asterales; Asteraceae. The record is from Rfam by way of RNAcentral.
GGGCAUUUGGUCUAGUGGUAUGAUUCUUGCUUCGGGUGCGAGAGCACCCGAGUUCGAUUCUCGGAAUGCCCC